Molecule: long non-coding RNA, 546 nt
Filed under: Diabrotica virgifera virgifera (western corn rootworm)
Lineage: Eukaryota; Metazoa; Arthropoda; Insecta; Coleoptera; Chrysomelidae
Description: uncharacterized LOC114328489
Source: RNAcentral
UCGUGACCGGCUGACACGAUCGUGAGCUCAUGUUUAUGUGGGUAUCAAUAUCAAAAUAAACAUAUUUUUACUGGGAAAGAUGAUAUCAAUAUGUUGUGUCUAUCGUGUAUUAUCAGAGUAACUGAAAUUAUUUAACUAAUUCGCGCUUAUUUUGCAAUAGAAUACCCUAUAAAAUGGCUGUGUAUUUUGAGGACACAACCGGUAAAGGUGUGCCUCUCACCCACGCUUUGGCUCUAGAGUUGUUAAAUGAUGGUAACUAGUCCGAAAUAGAAGAUUUAGAUGGCGAAAAUGAUGGUCCUUUUGAGGUUUAAAUGUUUAAAAAUAACACCGAUGACAAGGAUAUUGAAGAUACUGUAUUGGAUGAAGAACCUGUUCCUUCAACGAGCUCUUCUUCAGCAAGGAGGCAAUGAAAAGACAUGACAUUUCAGCAAAAAAUGUUUGUUUUAUUUUAGUUAGUAUGUAAUAUCAUAUUAAAAAAUUAUAGAAAUAAUUGUUAUUUGGACCUAUUAGUGUUUUACGUUUAAUAAAAGUGAAUUUUUUCAUACA